UGUUGACUCGUCCAACAUGUCAAUUACUCACAUAAUAAACAGUCAUGGUGGCCUGGGCAUGAUUAGUUUGGAUGCCAUUAAUACAAGGAUUGACCUUAACGUGGGUUUGGGAUUCAACAUUAUUAGGCAAAAGCCUGUAGCCUCAAUAGGUUUGGUGGAGAUGACUUCCUCUGCCAGUUAUUUAUUGUUUUUUUCCACAUGUUGUUAUAUUAUUAGUUGGAGAAUUCUUGCCCCCACAUCAACAUUGUAAGCAUGAAAAAUACCUUAAAGCUAAUAUAAAGUGAACAACAAAAACAAAAAACCAGCUCCAAACAACUUUGCUAGUACUCGGACAAAUAAAAAGGUGAAUGUCCAAGAACAAUAGAAUACCACCAGACAGCUAGCAAUCCACCAUAAAUAACCUUAAAUAAAUAAACAAUAAAAAAGUUGAAAUAAUUAGCUCAAGGACCAAAAAAAACAUUUCAAAAUAUUUGAAAAGCCACCCAAUUAACUUAUAAAUUUGCUGAUAUGCAAAGCUAUAAUAUAAGAAAAAAAAUAUUGAUACAAAAAAACCCUAGUUGCAUUCUGGUCUUCUUUCUUUUUGUCGACAAUCAACCGCAAGAAAGCUAAGAGGGAAAGGUGGCCACUGUCCCUCCUCUCCUCUUCCCAUCUUCCCUUUCCUCUCCUCAUCUCCCCUUCUUCUUUUUUUUGGGUGGGGGCUGAUGGAUUUGGUCGUAGAGAGAGAGAGAGAGAGGCAGAGAGAUAUAGAGAAUGAGGGCAGAGUCGCAGAGAGUCGCAGAAGACAGAGUCGCAGAAGACAGAGUCGCAGAGAGUCGCAGAAGGCAGAGUCGUAGAGAGAGGGGAGAAGGGGUGGGUGGUCCCACUACUCUGUUGAUUAAAAUGAUUUUUUUCAUUUUAUAUGUCAUAUUAUUUUAUUUUAUUGUAUUUAAUUAUUUAUUCAUAACUUUAGGUUAGUCAUUAAAUUUCAUCAAAUAAUGGUGAUUGUUGUUUUUUUUUUUUUUUAGUAGUGAAGAGAUGUAAAGAGUAGAAUAUCUAAGUCACUUUUAUUUUUAUUCGUAGCUUUAUGGUUAGUAAUUUGUUUACAUAUGUACAAUUUCAUGAUCAGUGUAUGUUUUUCUUUGUUUUGUUUUGUUUUUGUUUUUUUUUUCUGGUUCAAUUUAUAGAACAGUCUCCUUUUGCGA
Prunus persica (peach) is the source of this 1181-nucleotide long non-coding RNA. RefSeq lists it as uncharacterized. Lineage: Eukaryota; Viridiplantae; Streptophyta; Magnoliopsida; Rosales; Rosaceae. The record is from RefSeq and is a predicted model, not a curated record. The transcript has 2 exons.